RNAcentral lists this ribosomal RNA (1226 nucleotides) under Klebsiella pneumoniae. Its description in RNAcentral is "partial 23S ribosomal RNA". It matches the Rfam family "Bacterial large subunit ribosomal RNA", at positions 1 to 1269 of the family's 2925-position model. The record is from RNAcentral. Lineage: Bacteria; Pseudomonadati; Pseudomonadota; Gammaproteobacteria; Enterobacterales; Enterobacteriaceae.
GGUUAAGCGACUAAGCGUACACGGUGGAUGCCCUGGCAGUCAGAGGCGAUGAAGGACGUGCUAAUCUGCGAAAAGCGUCGGUAAGGUGAUAUGAACCGUUAUAACCGGCGAUGUCCGAAUGGGGAAACCCAGUGCAAUUCGUUGCACUAUCGUUAACUGAAUACAUAGGUUAACGAGGCGAACCGGGGGAACUGAAACAUCUAAGUACCCCGAGGAAAAGAAAUCAACCGAGAUUCCCCCAGUAGCGGCGAGCGAACGGGGAGCAGCCCAGAGUCUGAAUCAGCUUGUGUGUUAGUGGAACGGUCUGGAAAGUCCGACGGUACAGGGUGAUAGUCCCGUACACCAAAAUGCACAGGCUGUGAACUCGAAGAGUAGGGCGGGACACGUGGUAUCCUGUCUGAAUAUGGGGGGACCAUCCUCCAAGGCUAAAUACUCCUGACUGACCGAUAGUGAACCAGUACCGUGAGGGAAAGGCGAAAAGAACCCCGGCGAGGGGAGUGAAAAAGAACCUGAAACCGUGUACGUACAAGCAGUGGGAGCACCUUCGGGUGUGACUGCGUACCUUUUGUAUAAUGGGUCAGCGACUUAUAUUCUGUAGCAAGGUUAACCGUAUAGGGGAGCCGCAGGGAAACCGAGUCUUAACUGGGCGUUAAGUUGCAGGGUAUAGACCCGAAACCCGGUGAUCUAGCCAUGGGCAGGUUGAAGGUUGGGUAACACUAACUGGAGGACCGAACCGACUAAUGUUGAAAAAUUAGCGGAUGACUUGUGGCUGGGGGUGAAAGGCCAAUCAAACCGGGAGAUAGCUGGUUCUCCCCGAAAGCUAUUUAGGUAGCGCCUCGUGAAUUCAUCUUCGGGGGUAGAGCACUGUUUCGGCUAGGGGGUCAUCCCGACUUACCAACCCGAUGCAAACUACGAAUACCGAAGAAUGUUAUCACGGGAGACACACGGCGGGUGCUAACGUCCGUCGUGAAGAGGGAAACAACCCAGACCGCCAGCUAAGGUCCCAAAGUCAUGGUUAAGUGGGAAACGAUGUGGGAAGGCACAGACAGCCAGGAUGUUGGCUUAGAAGCAGCCAUCAUUUAAAGAAAGCGUAAUAGCUCACUGGUCGAGUCGGCCUGCGCGGAAGAUGUAACGGGGCUAAACCAUGCACCGAAGCUGCGGCAGCGACACUAUGUGUUGUUGGGUAGGGGAGCGUUCUGUAAGCCUGCGAAGGUGACCUGUGAGGG